Molecule: ribosomal RNA, 261 nt
Filed under: Triticum aestivum (bread wheat)
Lineage: Eukaryota; Viridiplantae; Streptophyta; Magnoliopsida; Poales; Poaceae
Description: partial small subunit ribosomal RNA
Source: RNAcentral
AUGAAGAAGGUUGCUGAAGGACCACUGGGAACCGGCAAGGCUUUCGUAUGCCUGUCGCUGUUGAUGCUGCUCGUGCUGUCAUCUGAAAAAAUGGAGUCGUAUGGCUGCAUAAAGCGGAAGAGCGGGAAGUGGCUCAACGACACUUGCUUCAUACCAGGCACCUGCAACGCGCCCUGCAGGGACGAGGGCUUCGACAGCGGCCAUUGCAAGAACCUCUGGACAUGCAUCUGCUACAAGAACUGCACCGGCUUAUCCCUCUAG